CCUUUUCCAAAAUUCCUUUCAUGAUCCUUCUGAUCUUCUUUUUGACCAGGCUUUAUCAGUACAUGAAUGAAAAAAAAAUACCAAGAACUCAGCCACGAGAAGUGUAUACAAGCUACCAACAGUUUUCGAGGCACUGGUUAUAUUUUUCAAAAUACUGCCAUUGAAUACUUUAAUUGUCAUGUAUGAUUACUGAAGAAAUUGAUUUUCUCUACCAUGUUCAAGAAGUAAAUAUGUAAAUUUGUAAAGCAAAUACUCCCCAGCUGCCCAAGAAUAACAGGACAUGAAAUCCUUCACUCCAUCUGGAAAAACAAGUGCUGAUGAGCAUCUGACCUAUUAUCUAUGUAAGUCAACAAAGCACCUACUUCUGAGUUCAGAUGCAAGGGCUCUGGAUCUUCUCCUGAGAGCUGCUGCACACCCCCCAUGUAAGCAAACAGUAUUGCCUCCUUGGUUUGUACACAGCAGAUAUUGGCACUUUAUCCUUGGAGCAAACAGCAAAUUGCAAAUUGUACCCAGCCACUUAGCAUUUCCAGUACAUCUUGGCCUAUGUUUUCACUUAGCAAAACAAUGAGAUAUCCAUCUCCAAAGAAGUUCUCUUGUCUUUCCUGCAGGAGUGACAAUCCUGUGGGUGUUUGAGACUGUGGUUUAGAUGGCAGUGAGUGUACAAGGCAGUGUUCAGUCAGGCCACUGUUACUUUGCACUGGUUCUUGGUGAGGGUAAAGAAGACCUGGUUGGGCCUGUGAUUCUCCUUAACACAAGGCAGUCAGAAACACGCAAGAGCCUGUUUGCUGGACAUAAAGGAUGCAGAGCAUAGCUUGUAAAUGAGUGGGACUUGCCAUGGCUGUUGUAGUUUAAACUCCAACCCACUGACUGAGCUCUGAGAGAGGAAGGGUAGGUUUUAGAUCAGGUUUAGAUAGGCAGAACCCCCAAAAAUAUGUCCUUUAAAAACUGAUAUAAAACCCCAAUAUGUGUCAGUGCCUUGGAACUGAUGUUACUUGUGAUAAUAUAAAUCUCAAGUAACUGUGUUACUGAGACUAGAAUUUGCCCCCAAAAUGGCAAAUCUAGAGAAUAUUAACUGAAGCUGCUGCUACUUAUUUUCUGCUCUGUCUGUCCCUUUCUCUUUUACCCAUAUACACACACAAACUCUCUCUUAUUCUAUCUUGUUUUCCUUCUCUCUUUCUGCUGCUUCCGCCCCUCUCUUCUCUGGGGAGCUGUAAAGGUGUUACAGGCAUCCUCACAACAGUGUUGUCAUUAGGACCUUCUGCAGGAAAUGAUUCUGUAAGAUUGAUGUGGAAAAUCACUGAAGAAAACUUGAAAUGUGGUACUACUCCAUCAUGGCACAGGUCAAGGAAGACUUCUGUAAAGACUUGUAUCAAUAUAUGCAUAUCAGUUUAGGACAAGUAUAACAUAUGCACCAGUGGUGAUUAGUGAGAGUACUUGGUGUCAGAAUUAUUUCUAAGAAAUCUGGCUCCAUCAAUUGCUGAUAUCCUUUACCAUUCUUUUGGGUAUUAAGAACAGAUUCUUUCUGGGCCAGAGGAUCACAUGAGAAGGGGAUGUGUGUCUGGAAUUAAAAAAGACUCCAUCGUUGAGAAAUGUUAGGAAAAGUAUCAUUCAGAUAGGUUGGUUUGUUUGUUUGUGGUUUUUUUUUUAUUAUUAAUUUUUUGAGCUGCUUGAUAAUGCUUGUUUUAAAGCGCAGUUAUCUAUACUAGUUAGCAUGCUCAUACUUUCACGUGUGAGUAUUCUUUGUAUGGACAGGGAGGAGGACAAAAGAAAAUAAAAAACAGUAAACAAUUCUCUUCCUAUAAAAACAAUCACAUUUUGCAUUUUCUUUAUUCUCCAGUCCAAAGGACACUGUUGGAUCCUCUGUUUGCAGUUUAAGAGGAGGUCACCAUCCCAGCUGAAUCCUGUUUUUCCACAACAUCCUCAGCCAACUUGGUUGACUAAGCUAAGAUCUGCUUAUGUGAGCAUCCGAGAAACAACGAUCGGGGAAGCUAAUAAGAAGCCAUACGAUGAAUAACUCCAUGACAAAGGAAAUCCCUGUAGCUCAGACUUACCUGCCGGCUUGCAUCCAACGCUCCCGACUGCAAGGCCCAGGCUGACACGGUGUUAAAGGCUUUCACAACCCUGGCGCCUGGCAGCAGCUGAGCAAGGUAAACUCAAACCAGACAACCUAAGACCUCCAAGAGGAGACCCUGAGAGACCCCUCUCUUGAACUGGCCAUCAAUCUGGUACUUAGAGCAGCAAUUUAAUUAGCAGGAGCCCUGAUGGUAAGUCUUACACUGCAUCACAGGUAACUGUCCUUAUUAGAGCUGUGGGAAUAACAGAUCUUCUAAUUUGCAGGAAAGAAAUGUGUGAAAUGAUUAGCUAAACACAAAACAACUGCUUUGCUUCUGCUGUUUAUGAACCUUUUGCAUACAUUAUUCUGUGAAGCACCAUUCAGAAUGCUGAAAUUUAAACAUACUGCCAUUUAAAAACACUGAGAUUAUGUUCUUCACUUUCUUUUGUAAUUUUCUCUAGUCAGAACCGUUUUUGCUUUUUAAAAAUCUGGCAUGAUUUUAAACUGUUUGACCCAAACCUUGCAUAUGUUUGGUGAAUAAAAAAUCAAGCCUGAACUUUCCCCUACCCUGCCAUGACCUAGAGAUAAGGGCCAUAAGUCAAGGAUUCAAACAUCCAUGGCCUAUGCUGUAGGUUGUAAGCCUUGCUAGUGAGAUGGACAUAUAAAUGCUUACUCUGAGAAUUGUAUAUGAAGAUUUUGGCUUGGACUACCUCUGUGUGUAGCUAUGUAGCCCUCAGUUGGCAUCAGCGCCUGCUCAGCACCAUUCUUGCAGUGAGCUGUGGGAAUCCUGUAAUUUAGAGAGCUGCCAACACAGUUGUUUUUGAUCAUUAGGGGAAGGUGUGGAUUCAGGCAGAAAAGGGCCUGAGUGUCUGCAUGCUGGAGGAUCUGUGUGGCUUGAACAGGUCCUGUUGGAGGCUUUGCAGCGCAGCAAGGUGUUCACCCCGGCUCUGCUGAGCUGCAGUCCCAGCUGUGCAUGUACAUCAUCAAGUAGCACACUGAAAAUGAAAAUAAAUCCUCAUAGAUUCCCAUCUGAAUGUGUCUUGAAUAUCUGGGGACUCUGGCACAUGCAUAAAAUUGCAAGUCCUUCGACAUAUUUAAAAAUCAUUCUCUGAGGACUUUAUUAGUCCCAUGAGGCUCUAAUGUGACUAACACUAUGAAUUUCCUUUUUAGGGAUGGUCUGUAUUUCAAAAAAUAGAGAAGAGUUGCAUAUGUAAUAUUAAUAAAUGGUCCAACUCAAUACCUAAUAAGGCUCAACUUUCCUUUCUUAAUUUUUCUUUUUAACAAAGUAGGCUCCUAUCUAAAAUCAAAAGUAAAACUUAUUUGUAACACACAUCCUACUUUUCCUUUCUUUCAACAUGUCUUUGUACCAGCUGGCUGUUAUUGAACUAAAAGAAGGUUGUGGGCUUGGCAGUGAACUUCUGGAGGUUAACUCAGGCAGUAGGUUGCAAGCAUAUAGAGAGUGCAUAGAAAAAUUCUGGAUUUGCUGUGUGUAUUUGAAGAAAAUGCAGCAUCUAAUGGCAACUGUGUGGUUGUAAAGUCAAAAGAAUGGACUCCCAGAUUCAUGACAGCAAUAGCUGCAAUGCAAAAGGAUAGUAAUUUUCUAUAGAACGUGUUUUAUUGUCUCAUGUCAGUGUGAAAGAUGGGAAGCAGAAGUAUAUCACAAGGGACACAAGGCUUGUUUAGUAACUUGAAGUUCAGCCCAAAGGCUGGCACUGGGCUAUCAAUCAGCAGCUGGUGGCAGUGGGGCUCUGCUCCAUGCCCAUGGAUUAUGCUGGGCUCUCUCAAAGCACCAGAGGAAAGCAGAAAUACCAGCAAAGAAACAUGCAGUAACCAUUGUCUGUUCUUUUACAUAAGUAGCCAAAGAUUAACUGAGAAAAAGCCAUAGAGCUUUGUAUCCACACAUAAUGUUUUUGCUUAUAUCCAUUCCCUUAACAUGAGAGCACUAGUGAUGCCUUUUGUUAUUUAAAAGGUAAUCCACGUAAGCUUCUCCUCUGCAUUGUUGCUGUAUUCUUGUACACUGAAUUAUCCAGUUUUAAGGAAAAUGGUGGCAAUCUCUGAGUUUGUUUGGUCAGUAAUAAUAAAAGGAGGUGCUGAAAGAAAAAAAGAACCUAAUUGCAACACUGUCAUUUUUACCCAUUGCAUAAACACUUAGGGGAGGUGAAUGAAGAUACAAUGGUUAGUUAAGCAGUUAUAGGCAAAUGCUUUGAUUAUGUAGGGAAUUGAAUUAAGACAGGCACAUUGCUUUGCACUUGGGCAAAAGGAGGGAUCCUAGCAGAAGCAACACCACAAAUAAAGUACAGUGCCAAAAUCAGAAAGGCAGAGAUGGGAUCAAGACAUAGACUGGGAUAGAUAAUGGAAAGAUCAGAAAGAUGUGACAUGAAAUGCAGAUGGAAGAUCAGUGGAAUGAUUCAAAAGUUAGAAAGACAAGAUGAAAGGAGCAGGAAAGAGUAAUUUUACUAUUUACAUUUAAAACAGAAGCAAAACAAGUGGCUCUGGUAGUGAUCUCAAGGGAUUGUCUAGUCCACCUCCCCUCCUAAGGCAGAAUGAACUGUGUUAAAAUCAAGUCUGACAGAUGCUUGUCUAGCCUGUUUGUAAAGCCUUCCUGCAUUGUGGAUGCCGAAGUCUUCCUGGCUUACUGCUUUCUCAGCCCUUCUAUUAGGCAGAUUUUCCUAUUAGCAAUCUGUAUUGCCUCCCCCACAGUAGACACAGCUGUCAAUUUAUCCCCCUUCUCUUUGCAGCAGCCUUUGUUGGACAUGAAAGCUGUUACCAUUUCACCCUUUUCUUCUCUAGAUAAAACAGUCCCAAAUCUUUCCCUGCAACUUGUGCUUCUGAGAGUGGCGAUCUUUCUCAUGGCUUUCUUCUGAUCUUUCUAGGCUAAACUGCUCCAAUUGUUAACUAAAAGUAUGUUGCUGAAACUGAAUGCAGUACUCUUGCAGACAUCUUACCAGAUACUAGAAGGAUUGCUUCAUUUGUGUCACAAAUCACACGUAAUCCUGCUGUCACAUUUGUCUUAUUCACAACACAGCUGAUUCAUAGUCAGCCUGUGAUGCAUUAAGAUGAUGAGUACUUUAACAAGUAGUGUGUGUGGCAACAGGAACCAUGAUGUGGAGUGCAACAGCUGAUGCUGAGCUCAUGAUUUUCACACUAUCCAUGUGUCAGAGAUUGCCACCUUGGACUAAUUCUACUUAGCUAGCUAGCAGCUGCAGUGCAUUUGAGUCCACCUAAAACAUGUCUUCUGGCUGAGAUUUUGUGGAAAGGAAUCUAGUUUCAUAUGUUCCAAGAGCUCUCUGUGUAUAAAGCAAAGCUAGAAAAGUGACGGUCUGCUUCUACAUCUCAUCAGAACAGAAAUACUAAUGCAAUGGCAUCCUGUUACACCCAAUCCUUUAAUUGGACUGCUCCCACGCCACUUAUUCCAUCCUUGAUUUCUGCAGUGUUUUCCAACUCAGAGCUGCAUUGUGCAGUCCCUGUUGCAUAGCACCAUAUUUUUUCAAACUGUAGCUUCGAUUUGCCAAGAUCAUUUUGAUUUCCAAGCCUGUCCUCUAACGUGCUUGCAGCCCUUUUCAACUUUGUCAGAUUGUCAGCUUUCAUGAGUAUAGUGUCUAUUCCAGCAUCUAUUCCAGCCUUUUAAUUAAAUUCUGGAACAGGACUUUUGCCACGAGAGACUCCCUGUAUAUCUGCAGUAAAUGCAGUCUUCUACUUUGAUAAUAUUUAGUGGAGAGACUGAAAAAUGUUUCUUUUGUUAUUUCCACAAAACUUUACCUUAUGUAAGGUUAAUCUGAACUGCAUUUUCCUAGUUUGCUUUUGAAUUUUUUUCCUGACAUGUAUCAUACUAAAAACUUUGCUCAUGCCAAGUUGUAUUCCCAGGACCUAUUGUCCUUUUAUGAGAGGAAACAAGGUUUAUUUGAAAUGAUUUACUCUUGAUUAAUCCUUAUGCCUAUAACCCGUUUCUUUCUUAUGUUCUUUUUGCUUCCUCUACUUGUUUGAGAAUUGUAUUUAAAUUGAUUGGGCCGUAAUUCCGCACCUCCUCUUUCUUGGUACAUUUAAAGAUAGCUGUUAUUCUUGCCUUUUCAGUCUUUUAAAACUUUACUUCUUCCACACAAUUCUUAAAGAUAGUUAUUUACAACUGUGGAGAUGCUUCAGUUUUCUCUUGAAUAGUGUGAGGUGAAUUCCAUCAGCCUUGUUGAUCUCAGGUCAUUUAACUCACCUAAGCAAGGCCUAAUCUCUUUCUUAUGUCAUUUAGCAACAAUUUCCAGCUCUUUGCUACUGAUAUAAACCCUUUUAUCAUGGUUGACCCUUCUAGUGAACAAAGAGCAAAAUAGACAUUACAAAGUUGGCUUUCUUGGAGUUGUUAGUCAAUAGCUUUCUCUCAGUUGAGUGGUGGAUCAAUUCUCUCCUUGAUUUUUCUUCCACAGUUCAUGUUUUUAUAGGAAACUUCUUGUUAUUCUGUAUGUACCUUACUAAUUAUGUUCCUUUUUGUGCUGUGUCUUUUCAAAUCUUACCAAUAUAUCAGCACAAUUCUGUGCUUGUCCAUAGAUUUUGGUUUCUGUAUGCUAUUAGAUUUUGAAGUUUUGGAAGAACUGACAGCUCCAGCUGCCUGGCUUACUUCAACCCUUGCUCUGCGUUGCAAUCUUUAUGUCUCUACUUUUAACAGUCUCUAUAAGCAGCUGCCAAAUCUCCUGACCUUAUUUUCUCAUCAAAUUAUACUUCUCAUGGAAUAUCACCUUCCCACCUUCAGAGUCUAGUAUACUCUGCUUAUUAUUCUGCUAGGUGGACAAAUCCAUUUUUGAGCACUUGAUGUUGCCUGGUGGCCUGUGCUGGCUCCCAGCUGUGACAGACCCUCUAUAUUUUUCCCUCUAUCAUUUUCCAAAAUCUUCUACUGGGAUUAUAUUCUUUUAUCUUUUGACUCAGGGCAAAAAUUUAGAAGACAAAGCAGGAUAUAAGGACUGUGAGAAGAGAAGUGGCCGAAGUAUUGCCAGGAAUUUGAUCCGCUGCCACGUAAAAGAAAGGUUUAUAAGUAGGUUAUGGUAUUGCCUACUGUAGGAACUAGUCCAAAGAUUUACAAUGCUGAUCUGUUUAUCUUUUUUUUUUCCCCUCCCUUUUUAAACUCAUUGUCAGAAUCAUAAUCCCAAAGGUGGACAUAAGGAUUAAAAGCAGAACAAAUAUUAUGGGAGCAUAACUUUAAAAAAUGAAAUUUCAAAGGCCUUCUUUCUAAGUAAACAAAAUAUUUUUACUGCUAUUUCCUUGAAAAUAACAGCAAGGAUUCUGUUAAACUAUGCAAAUAAUAAACAGUGAGAAUGGCCCCUCUCUCGGGUAGCUUGCCAUUGCUCUAGUACAGCAUUCUGGAGGCAAAUAAAGGUUCUGCCAUAAUUCAUCUUGCUCAUUAUAUAGAAUUCUUGGGGUAGAUUCAGCUGUGUGAAUUCAUACAUAGUUAUACAGAAGCCAUGACAUGUAGACUGCAUAUUCCAGCAAUUCUGUGUAGCAGAAUACGUGUAUGAAGUCUGUUUUCUGGGUUCACCUUUCUAGAUAAACCUUGUUUCUCCAGAUUUCAAAAGGGUUAUUUUUCUAUAAUGAUGGAGACACACUUGGAUUGACUUUGGAGCUUAUUAAAUUUAGUCCAUUGCACAGAUGAAUUCUAAUAGUGUCGUGCUGCAUGAAGAAACUAGUUCUUCCCUCAGGUUUGCUUACCUUUGGUGUUUAACUCUGCUGGUACGACAGUGAAACAGGGACAUCUGGAAUAAGCAGUUUGGAUUCAGACUAUACCUUCAUUUUAAACUGCUGACAUGACUUCUUACAUCUUACUGUAACUCUGCUGGUCUUUUAACACAAAAGAUUUAGCUGUUUCUGAUUAUUUUUUUUGAUCUUCUGUAUCUCUUGUCACUACAGCAAGGAUCAGCUGAACUUUCUCACCCACCAUCCACAUAUAUUAGUCCUCAAGUCUCUGCUGGAGGUUUCUUCCAGUCAAAGCUCUGUAUCUCUCUGAUCAGGAAAGCAUGCAGUUCCUCGCAUGGAUUCAAGAACUUGCUUACGUAUUUUGAAACACACAGGCAGGGCACAUGGCAACUCAUUUCAGUAAGAGGUUUACAGCAUGUCUUUUACAAAGCACUUUUAAAACAGAUUCUCACCACCACUACAGACAGAAAGCCCUGCAUGCUGUUGGACUUAACAUGAUUACUCAUCCUGAACUUGCUGGGCAACUGUGAGCUGAUCUUGAGUUUGCAUUUAAGGCUGAACUGGUGAAAAUAAACUCUUGCCCCAAGUCCUGUAGACCUUCCUCAUACCUCUUUGAACAGACCAAGCAGGUUUAAUCAGGUUUGCUUCCCUGAUGCCUCUGUGCACACCUAAUCCCUCCCUACCAGAUAAACAUACAUCCUUUUCAAUCAUGGCUGGGCUGCACUGCUGGUGACUAUGGUGCUUUGACACCAGCCUAUAGACACGUACAUAAGCUGGUGGCAAUGAAGAACAGUGCCUAUGAUUGAGAGUGACAAAGGCAGUGGAAACAGCCAGGGUCUGUAUUUAUGUAUGUAUGUAUGUAUGUAUGUAUUUAUUCAUUUAUAUCAACCCUCUUUUUUUCAUUACUUCCUUUAAGUUCUAUGUACCUGUGGAUGGGCAUGGUGAACUUGAACCAAAGGAGUAAAUGCGUACAUAUUUUUGUUUGGAUUUAUAGUUUUUGCACUGAUGAUUUUUAGUUUCCCAUGCUGUUGAGUUCUCCAAAGUUAAACGGUUUCUUUCAGGAAUAGAGUUAAUUGUCAUUAUUGUUUUAAAUAUUUUUUGCAUGUACUGGCAAGUAGAAGUCAUCCACAACUGCUGGUUUUUUUUUUCUAAAUGAAACUUCUGCUUUGUCUUGUAAUCUAUGAUCAAAAGGUGUAUAUUAGACAAAAAUACCCUAAUACACUAAAAUUACAUAUAGUAAUUCAUUAAAAUAUAUAUUCUUAUAUUUUACAAUAGAAAAAGAGAGAGACUGAUGCUUAGUUUCUUACAUAUGUAAUACUGCAGCUUUGGAAUACUUUAUGAAGUAUUUCACACAUGCAUAAUAUACAGUAAUUCUGGUGUAGCUUGGAAAACAGGUGAAAUGCAAUUUAAAAUUUCUCCUUGGAAAGACAUGUGCACUACUUGGAGGCAAUCUCAUAUACUUAAAAUUUCAUUUUACUAUUCCCACAGAAAGAGAAAGAACACACUCUAUAACAAAUACUGUUUCUCAUAAGUUGACAGCUGCGGAACCAAAUCUGCUCUAAAUUAUAAAUUGCAUUUUCUGUUUCUUGAUACACCUAAAACUGAAAGGCACAUGGCUAAACUACUCUCCCAUGAUUAAUCCAGUACUUAAACACGUAAAGAAAACAGCAGAAUAGCUCCAAACAAAUGUAUUACAACAAAUUAUUCAUGAAUUUUCUUUCAAGCAAAUGAAUAUCUGCUGCUCUUCUCAGUAGAAAAUCCUGGGCUCCAAGUUUUGACAAAGCUGAUAAAAAAUAAUUGUUUGAGACAAUAAAUCCUCCUACGGAGGACAUUGCAUUUACCACAUCUUCACUUUUUAUCGGGAGUACACUAAAGCUGCCUGGAGGCUCUUCAAACAGAUGAAGUAUCGUCCUAAAUAGAUGUGCUUAAUGUUGUCUAAAUCAUAGCAAAGUACUGAGAGGGCUGGAAAUCUCACCACCUCCAGCUGCUCCCAUAAACCAGCUAUAACUUGAGUAAUUUCCUCAGUCUCUUCAGGGUUGUUGUACUGUUCUGAGGUGUGUAGGUACUAAGCUUUAAUCCAGCCUAGUCAACUGCAAGAGGAAUGAAAAUAUUUCUUAAAACAGCUCAAGGUGAGCAAGUGUGAGAAGGAGAGACAGACCUGUCUACAGUGCAGGGUGCACUGGGUUUACCCCAAUUGGUCCAAAAGAUGUGCUGAGACCUUGAAAGACAUGCUUGCAGAUACACCAUGCAUGGAGAAGCACCCUUUGCUCUCCUGCCGAGUCCUCCCCUCCCCGUGAAGCUAUUCUUUCGAGCAUCUGCCAUUUAGAGACAUUAACAAAUAGCUCUAUCUCAGAGAGAAAUAACACUAGAAAUAAUGAAGCCUGACCUCCUAGGGGUUUGUGUUUCUUGGCUGAUUACAAACGCUGUUUGAGACUGUUUCCAAUCACAGGAGAUGACUCCUAGAACACUUCUUCUGGUGGAUUUUAGGUAUUUCAAAUGUAUAUAGUCACAGUCUUUAAUUUUUCAGAACUUUUCUAUGGGGUCUUCAGCUGCCCUUUUUCAUGCAACAUAUGGAAGGGAGAGCACUCUGCCCUCCUGGUACAUUUAAAAUCAUCACUAAAAAAGUUAUUGAGAAACACACAAACAUGAGACACUCACAUACCCCUGCAUGAGCAGAGAAAUCUCACUUCCUGCAGAAAUGAAGCUAAAAUAAUGGACACCUUAAAAAAUUUGUGAUGUACGUAAACCCAAAUGCAUGUCUGUAUCACCAAAAGAGAAGGAAGCGAGUGAGAAAUGGCUUUCAACUGUGACCCUCUGUUGUUGUGGUCAAAAGUCAUGGAGAACAAGUCAGGAGAUGUUUUGCAGGAAACUUUUACUGACAGACCAUCCAAAAACUAAAAAUGCAAGAGUUCAUGCCACAUAUUUAUUAUGAGCUCUAGGAGUAUAUGACAAGCCUGACUCUCUUCCUGUUUACACUAAUGAAUUGUUGGUUUUCAGUUAGCUCAUGUUUGGAUGGAGUUGCACAAGUGAGAAAAAAAAAUGAAGCCCAGUUGCUUCAUAACACCUGUGAUAAAAACAGAGGCAAGGUGGCUGCUGUGGUGCAGUGACAGUGUUCUUGGCUGUCCUAUGCCCUUAGAAAUCUGAGGAGUGAGAGUAUGAUGAAAGAUUUAAGGAAAUGGUGCAUGAAUAUGAAGUUUUCAUGCCAAAACAAAUUAAUGUGUGUUCACAACAUGUCUUGAAUGGGGCCAAUCAGAUUUUACAGAAAGUUCAUUAACCUGUGUUCUUGCUUACACUAGCUUAUAUACUAAAAUGCAUUUAAAGACAUACGAUUGUACGACAAUCCAAGACAGUAGAUAACUUUGUCAGCUCCCUUACUCACUUAAUGUGAAGUAUAUUAAAUGUGUUUACUUGCUCCUUUUGGUUUCCUUUAUGUGGGCUUGAACAUUUUCCUCUCCCACUUGAGUAAAGGCAAGUGACAUCUGCAAAGACAUGCCUGCCUUCAGGGCAAAAUGAAUACUGAUAUUUUCAGAUGAAAUUAUGUUCCUCACCAAAAAAAAAAAAAACCCAAGAAAAAAAAACCACAAGAGAAAAAACCAGUUUUAAGUGCUGUUGCAUUUUUCAACAAGGUAAAAUUCUUAUCAGGCAAUCUUUUACAAACUAAUUUUUAACAAGAUGGGAGAAGUUCUCCUUACUGAGCCAAUGAUUUCAAGAUGCUUCAAGCAAUAACCUUAACCUAUAGGCUUUGAAAAUUAAUUGCUGAGAAGCCUGAAAUUAGAAACAUGUUUUUAAAAUAGAAAACCCCCCAAAAUAAAACAGUAAUGGCAUUAGUAAAAAAAUUACAGAGCUGUUCAGGGCAGCAUGAAAGAUCUACUUUGGUUUUUUUAUUCUAAUCAAAGCUCCCUGUGAAUUCAGCCCGGGUUUUGCAGAUUCCUGAGCUGCUGCUGCUGAUUUCCUCACCUGGUAAGCAGGGAUGGAUGUGCACAGCAGUGGGACAUUACCUUGGCUCCCAGCCAAGAUGGUGGUGAUAUAAAUGACACCUGUCUGCCAGGGCACUGCCUGUGAGGCACUGCUCUUGGGGCACAGUUGCCACCGAAUUGCUUGCAGUACAGCCCAGGGCAGCCAGUGUUAUCCUGUGCCAUGGCUCACUGCACAGGGGCACAGGAAACCUUACACAAGAUCUCUUACAGAUCCCUGCUACCUGCAUGCUCUUAUGCAGAGGGUGCCGUCUUCGGAGGGAAAUCACCCUAGUUUUUGUCUUCUGCUUUCUCCUGGGUCUCAGUCACUGCCUCUCUCUUGUUCCUACCUCUGUGAAAUACAUGAGAUCAAGGCAGAAGUCACCCUCUUGGUUCUGCACAUUGAGACCAUACAAUAAGCAAGAAAGGAGUGAAGUAAAACGUGGGUAUUUGGGACAUGAUGUAGAGCAGAGGCAAAUGAAAACUAAACUUAGCUGAAGAGCAAAGAAGAGGGUGCCAGGAGGUACAAAACACAGUGUCAUGCUGCUUUUGUAAUUGCCUAAUUGGACAAAAUAAUUCCCUCCUGCUGGGUGACCCUCUCUUGCAUUUCUAGCAAGGAAAUGCAAUACAAGUGAGGAACUGAGUUUUCUGAAUAAACCCAUUGUCUUUUAUUUGAUUACCAUUUUAUGCUAUUACUAUUAUUGCAUAAUUAUCCACUUGUUCUGAGUGCUCGUGUUCUUUUUACACAUUUCCUGCUCUCACAGUCAUCAUAGCAUGGGACCACCCAGAGCAAUCCUUUGUCAAACAUUCCUGUGCUCUAAUGAUGCCAGAAAGUGUUUUGCUCUUUGGCAAUCAACCUCUCCACUACAUUUCUUAGUUCUUAAGGCUUGUUUAUUUAGAUGCCUCCAGAAAAUUGCUCACAUGGUGCUAACACUAAAGGAUUGGUGACAGGCAGCAGUAAAACACUUUGAUCCCAAUCACCAGGUGCUCAGGUGUAACUCCUCAGGUGUAACUUCUCUGAAUUGGGUGGUUGAGCCAUUCCAGUAUUGAUCAAGUAGUUUGUAGGAGAUUGUUAUAAUUAAACACCUUUGAACUGCCAAAUUAUAUGAGGCUCUGGUGCAGUUUGAGUUGUAGGAUUCAAAUGAAAUUUAGUAAUGUUCUUAUUUUUUAGGGAUAUCAUGCCAUUUAUGAGAAUGUUUUUUCUGCACAUUCUGAUUGGUCCUGAUGAGGCUGUUCCACUUGAGAAAAGCACAUGGAGGGAAAUCAUCCAGAACUAAGAACCUGUCCUCACUCCUGAUUUAAUCUUAACUUCAUGUUUUCCUAAGCAAGUCAUGGGAACUGCAUCUCCCAGUGCAAGGUUAGACCUAGCCUUUCUCCUGACCCAUGGUGAUCUGCGUCGCUCUGCCAGCGCAACACGUGAGACAGCUCAGCCAAGCAUGAGAAGAGCAGUUCCAAGCUGGGUGGCCUGAACCUGUGUCUCAGUAUACUGCCACCACCAAAGUUAGAGCAUUUCUCCUGUAACCCCACCAAAAGUCACCUCAGCAAUUUAGUAAAGUUAAAAAACCCAAAAAGUCACCGUUGCAAUUGUGUGUCCAGGGCUGUAUUCAGUAGUCACUAUGAAAUUGGGAAGCAGCUUUGUCAGUCCUCUAAUUAAAGUCUUUGCCAGCAACUGUUCCUACUCCUCCUCUCUCCAAGAAGCACCAAUAUAACCAGUGCUUACCUGACCUGCCACCCACUGCCCACCACAUACUGAGCACCCUGCCCAAACUGCUGCAGCAGGUAGGAGAGCUGUCAGCAGCAGCCCGGGAAGAGCUCACAAGGACGUUCGAGAGUGCACCCCUUUGUCACAGCCCUGCCUACAACACCAAUUGUGGAGUGUGACUUGCAGCUUCAAUAUAUCCUUGAAAUUAUAAACUGGAUUUCUAUAAAAUUUGACAAUGGAACCAAGUCCAGAGAGAUAUUUGUUUAUCACUCUUAAUACAACAAUGGUUACUUAGGCUGAGAUGCUUCAGAAAAAAAUUCAUAUCAUAAAUGCAAGAUUAAAUUUAUCCUGGAAACAUGAGAGUGGUGAACUCGAAAGCACUACUGGGGAAGAUCUUCCAAAGCAUAUAUGCCAAUAAUUUCAAGAUUCAAAUGGGUAAGGAAAAGGUCAGGGACCUCUUGUACAUGAGUCUCAGCUUAGCAACUGUGUUUAGAAGGAGAAUAAGGUAUAUCCUAUGUAAUGUGGCCAUGGUGAUCAUAGAAUCAUAGAAUCAACUGGAUUGGAAAAGACCACCGAAAUCAUCAAGUCCAACUCUUGAUCCAACACUGCUGUGGUUACCAGACCAUGGCACUAAGUGCCACAUCUAGUCUCAUCUUAAAAACCUCCAGGGAUGGUGAAUCCACCACCUCCCUGGGCAACCCAUUCCAACGUCUAAUUACUCUCUCUGUAAAACAUUUCUUCCUAAUAUCCAACCUAAACUUCCCCUGGCACAGCUUAAGACCAUGCCCUCUUGUCCUAUUGCUGGUUGCCUGGGAGAAGAGACCAACCCCCACCUGGUUACAACCUCCUUUCAGGGAGUUGUAGAGAGUGAUGAGGUCUCCCCUGAGCCUCCUCCUCUCCAGGCUGAACAAUCCCAGUUCUCUCAGCUGCUUCUCAUAGGACUUGUGUUCUAGUCCCUUCACCAGCCUUGUUGCUCUUCUCUGGACCUGUUCCAGCACCUCAAUAUCUUUCCUGAACUGAGGGGCCCAGAACUGGACACAGUACUCGAGGUGUGGCCUCACCAGCGCUGAGUACAGGGGAAGAAUCACUUCCCUGGACCUGUUGGCCACACUGUUCCUGAUACAGGCCAGGAUGCCAUUGUCCUUGGCCACCUGGGCACACUGCUGGCUCAUGUUCAGCUUCCUGUCAGUCCAAACUCCCAGGUCCCUUUCUGCCUGGCUGCUCUCCAGCCACUCUGUGCCCGGCCUGUAACGCUGUGGGGGGUUGUUGUGGUCAAAGUGCGGGACCCGGUACUUGGCCUUGUGAUGGUUGUACCUAGUCAAAGUGUUUACAGAAAAACAGAAAAAACCCUGGAUCAUGAGAGGAUGUGAUUAUUAAUGCUUUCUGAGUGUUUGUGAUCCAAACCAUUAUUCUUCUUUUUCUGAGGCAGUCUUACUAUCUACUACUAUUGACCCCUGAGAAGAAGACUCCAGAAAACUGUAGUGUGUGUCAAGGUUUUCUCCUGCUCAGUCCAAAAAGCAUGGAAAAAGGAAUUAAAAUACCAUGUAGAUGUAUAGAGACAGGUGAAUUGCACCCAUGUAGAUGUCAUGUGGGGUUCUGGGAGCUGCUGGUGCUUCACAGGCCGUGCGAUGCUGUGGCAGAAACACCAGCUCCAGCACAGAAUGAACCCUGGGCCCAGGAACAUAGGGCUGCUUCUGGCAGGGUUGCACAGGUGAUGGGCUGGAGGGUCCUGCUGGCCCUGGAGGACAAAGGUUAGGGCUGCUGGUCUGCACACAUAGGUGGUUCCAGACCUCUCUCCUCCAGGCCCUGGAGACACUCUCUCUGGAGCAGGCAGUCUGAUGUGGGGAGUACCAAUGUGCUCUUUCCUCCAUCAGCACCAAGGAUGUGACCACCCUCUACUGAUCCCUGCAGUAAUCUGCCUUUGGGAGACUUUUCUGGGCUGCUGGUCUUCUCCCAGGACCUUGUCCAGACCUGGGAUGGGGAAGCAACCAGGACCCCUGAAGCCACAAAGAGGCAGGAGCUCCUUGGCACCCCUCCUGCAGAGCCUCCAGCUGCACGUGCAGGUGGCAGCUCCCUGCAGUCCCUCCUCUGACUCACCCAGUACUUCUCACAGCUUCUGAAUCGUCUCCGUCUCUCAGCUCUCAGUUUUUGCCUCACCCAUAAAUCAGAAGACCCGUAAAUCACAAGACCUGCUUGCUGAUGUUCUCUUUACUCUGGCCACUCUGUCCAUCACUGCCACCAGAAAGGCAGAGCACAAGAGGGGGGAUGCUGAAACCACUGGGCUUGCCUACCACUCCUAGAUGGCCAACAACCCUGACAACCCCCAGCAGCCUGCUGUGAGGGGUAUGCUCUUCUUUGUGUCCAUCUUUGGGGUCCUUGUCAUACAUUUUUGAGCUCUCAUCUCUCACACUUCACCUUCUUUUUUUGUUUAUUUCAUUUGUUCUCAUAUCAUACUUGCCUGUGCUCCUUUUUUUAGGGAAAAAAAAAAGAGCAAUGAUGUUACAAAGCUGCAUGUUGUUUGUAGGAGGUUGUUUCCCCAGGCUCGUAGUUACUGUGGAAGAAGAGAUGACAACCUUCUAAAAAAACCCAGAAGGGAAAGAGAAGAAGAGGCACAAAGCCUGUCACUUUGUGCUGCAAAAUCUCCAUCAGACAGCAAACUCACACUGAAACCGGGGAGACCCAGGACACACAGCUAGGCUAUCUGCCCAUGAGAGAAGCAGUCCUCGUGCCUUAGGGGAGGCAGCACACCCACAGGGACACCACAGGACACCUCAAAGGCUGAUGGAAAUUUACUGAUAAAUACAGCCUCGAGGCUACUGAUAAAUAUCUGUACCCCUCAGCUGUAUCAAUUUUUGAAAUAUACUUAUUAUUAUGUUUUCCUUAGCAGGGAAGGUAUAGUCAGGGGAACGUACGUAGAAGUUUUAGCAUCUGAAACAAAAGUUCUGACUAUAGAAUUUUAAAGCCUGUCUUUGUUGUGUGUAACCUUCACAGACAGACAACAUAAUAAACGAGAUCUUGUGCUGGGGGCUUAUUCUGAAGUCCAAGUUUGCAUAGGUAUUCAGGAUGGAAAUCAACACAUCUUUGAGGAUUUAUGCAUUAGAGAUGACAAAACAUCAUCAAGUAGACUAGUUAAUCCUAAUGUCAGUGAUGCCAGAGUAAGAUGCAUUUCUACCUGAAAGCAGGGCAUGCAGUACCAUGAUUUAAAUAUAAGCUUUGUCCUGUAUUCUUUGCCCCUAUCAUGGCAUUUCUGCACAAAGCAUAGUUUCUUGGGAGUGAAGCACUGGGUCCUUAGUGUUUAGGGGUGGCUGACGACGUCAGCUUUGCCAGAAUCAGGAAACAAUAUCACCCUUCACAAAGUCACAGUUACAGGUGUCACUGUUAAUUCCAUGGUUUUCCCAUACAAUGGCACCAUCGUUGGUUGGAAACAAUUCAGAGUAACUUCAGUGAAACUUGAUUAAAAAAAAAAAAAAGAGGUGUUCAGGAGACAGAUCAAAUAGUCAACAAACUUUCUUGAACUUUGCUUGGCUAUUUCCUGUGAUGUUUCUCUUGUUUCAUGUGCUCAGACGGUGCUGCUGACAGUGUUUGCUAUCAAUUUCUACAGAGUGGGAGUAUCCAGACCAUUACUGUGCAUAAGCUCCAGAACUUUUGACAGCUUUAGUUUUCUUUCCUGAAAAGUGAUUUAUCUGUAGACUGGGAGGGAAGCACUGGGCAUGCAAGCUGGUGAGAAACACAUAUUGCUAGAAGUUGCUGACCAAGAUAAAGAGCAUUUCAUAAGGUACUCAGUGAGUGAAGUCACAAGCCAAAUAUAUACAUACAGAGGUUCAAAGCUAAGGGAACGAGUGACUUUUUGGAGGAGACAGUCAUUUCUACCUUCUUUCUUCCUAUAUAAAUCACUAGGCUCAUCCAGCUUGUCCAUGCUUCAUUGUGAUCAUCUUAGAAAGUGUUUGAGAAGUGAGGAACAUGAGAAAGGGAAUAAUUUUUCUUGUCUUAAGUGAGACUGACACAUGGGUGGCUGAAAGUCUGUAAUGGCUGAAAUAUUUAUCCGUUUGCUGCUCCCAGCUUGGCCAAAGUCAAAUACUCUCUUGGAUUCCUUCCUCUAGAGUUAAUAUUUUCAAAGGAACUGCA
Molecule: long non-coding RNA, 17503 nt
Organism: Pseudopipra pipra
Lineage: Eukaryota; Metazoa; Chordata; Aves; Passeriformes; Pipridae
Exons: 5
Source: RefSeq, a predicted model, not a curated record